Macaca mulatta (Rhesus monkey) is the source of this 885-nucleotide long non-coding RNA. RefSeq lists it as uncharacterized. Lineage: Eukaryota; Metazoa; Chordata; Mammalia; Primates; Cercopithecidae. The record is from RefSeq and is a predicted model, not a curated record.
GUCCAGUGCUUUCAUUGAGAACAACUAGAAACUCUGGAUAAUAUUCCACAAAACCAAAAUUAAUUUGGAGGCAUCCCAGAACUGCUGUGGUAACCAGGAUUUGAGGGGCCAACAUCUUAGAGAGAAGGAAGGCCUGGAAAAGUAAUCUCACAUUCAGUGAUUUCCCCCUCAAGGAAUUUGGUGUACUUAAGAUACAAAGGACAAGAAGAUACAAGAGAGAAACUAAGUAGAACAUUUCUGAGAAGCAGAGCAGAGUCUUAGCAGUCUUGUGGAGCUGAGUAGAAAACAACUUUAAGUGCAAGAGGGAAGGAUCAUUCUGGGGUGACAGAGCUGUGCUAUAUCUUAUUCAUGGUGAUUGUUAUUUAACUAUAUGCACUUGUCAAAACUUGCAGAACUGUACACUGAAAAGAGUAAAUUUUACUGUAUGCAGAUUACACUGUGAUAAACGGUCUUGGAUACAACCUUAGUUAGGACCUUUGGAGAAUUCAGCCAAGGAGAGGGAGCAAACCAGAGGUUGAAGGAGUCAUGCAAAAUGGAAGAGAAGUUGUAGGUCAGCUCAGCCCCGUUUCACUGAAGAGAACUUUCCCAACUCCAUUGAAACAACCAGAAGAGUCAUGGUGUACCUGAAGUUUAAACUGGGUAUAACUACCAGUCAUCACGAAAGACCUAGUGUAGAUAAUAAAAAGUCCAAAGUUUGUGGAAAGGCAGUGGCAGUUGUUUCUCUUGUCUUCAUCAUCGUAAUCAUCACCACUGCAACUACCACUGUCAUCAUUAUCAACAAGCACUGACUGUUGUUUGUGAGGCGUGAUGUGAAGUCACCUAGGUUUCAGCAAGUGAUAAGAAAUGGUGCACUAAAUUUUUAUGUAUAUUAAAUUUUCCAAUGGA